Molecule: unclassified non-coding RNA, 1275 nt
Filed under: Aegilops sharonensis x Aegilops umbellulata
Lineage: Eukaryota; Viridiplantae; Streptophyta; Magnoliopsida; Poales; Poaceae
Description: external transcribed spacer
Source: RNAcentral
AGGGAGGAGGGGUCCUUCCUGGUGGGCGUACGGAACUCGGGUGGUUUUUCUUAGGAAAAACACCCGUUUUCACGUACGCCCAUCCUUUCCCAACGUUGCCUCGGAUGUCCCGUCGUUAUGCCAUCACGAAGGUGGUGGCCCGGUCCCGUGUACGUCUCGUGAGAAAUCCUGACCCUACAGCCGAACGUGGCUCGGGAAACAGGAAAGUACCCCGUUUCGUACACGAUCCGACCGACGGUAAACAGUCGCAACGGUGUCCCUCGAAUGUCGCCUCCGGAAAACCGUUGCCCCUCGGGGCAACGCAAAACCGUUGCCCCUCGGGGCCAACGCAAAACCGUUGCCCCUCGGGGCAACGCAAAAUCGUUGCCCCUCGGGGACAACGCUAAACCGUUGCCCCUCGGGGCAACGCAAAACCGUUGCCCCUCGGGGGCAACGUCAUCGCUGUCCCGGUCCCCUGUACGUCCCAAGUGAAAUUCUGACCCAACAGCCGAAUGCGGCUCGGGAAACAGGAAAGUAGCCCGUUUCGUGCACGAUAAGACCGUCGGACAACCUUGCACCGACGUCCCGAUUAAGUUGCCUUCGGAAAACCGUUGCAUCCGUAACUUCAUUGCUGCGGGUGUGACACACGCGUGAUUUGGCCUUGCAGGACGCCUUCGUGCAAGUGAUCCUCCCGUGCUCUGCACGGGCGGAGGCUUGGUUGGUUUGACCGCUUGUUGGCUACUAAGCGCAUGAGUAGCUUUUGACCCGUGUCUGCCGGUAGAUCCCCCGUUGUACUGCGGCCGACUACCGGCGCCGUGUCCCGUCCCUCGUGUGGCUUCGAAUCGCUGGAUUAAGAGUGCUUGCAUGCUAGUACCCGACCUACGGGAAGUGGUGCUUCGGAUAAUUGUUGCCUCGCGGCGGACGCCCUUUGGGUGUGCCGCUGCGGCCAAAUAGCGCUUGCGGCGUUGCCUCGUGGCGCUGGCAUGUUACGUGCCCGCUGCUAUCAAGGCAACCUCGCUCUCGCUUUUGGUCUCGGAUGCUGCUGACGAUAAAGGGUCGUGGCCCUUUCGGUUGCCUCGACCCGACCCAAAGCUCUCCGAAUUGAGAACAACCGGAACAGGAGUUGCCUCUACCUCUCCACAGUUACGUGGUAGGAUACGCGACUCUCUGCGCCGAUCCUCAAGGAGGAUGAGCAAUGCCGCUCAAGAGCGACAACCGGCCCGGCUGUUGCCUUUGAGUUUCCAUGAAAGUGGAAGCGCAAGACGAUGGUCGUGCUGGGCGUCACCAAGGACGUGC